AUUGAACGCUGGCGGCAGGCCUAACACAUGCAAGUCGAACGGUAACAGGAAACAGCUUGCUGUUUCGCUGACGAGUGGCGGACGGGUGAGUAAUGUCUGGGAAACUGCCUGAUGGAGGGGGAUAACUACUGGAAACGGUAGCUAAUACCGCAUAACGUCGCAAGACCAAAGAGGGGGACCCUCGGGCCUCUUGCCAUCGGAUGUGCCCAGAUGGGAUUAGCUUGUUGGUGGGGUAACGGCUCACCAAGGCGACGAUCCCUAGCUGGUCUGAGAGGAUGACCAGCCACACUGGAACUGGGACACGGUCCAGACUCCUACGGGAGGCAGCAGUGGGGAAUAUUGCACAAUGGGCGCAAGCCUGAUGCAGCCAUGCCGCGUGUAUGAAGAAGGCCUUCGGGUUGUAAAGUACUUUCAGCGGGGAGGAAGGGAGUAAAGUUAAUACCUUUGCUCAUUGACGUUACCCGCAGAAGAAGCACCGGCUAACUCCGUG
This 490-nucleotide ribosomal RNA is filed under the name uncultured bacterium. RNAcentral describes it as "partial 16S ribosomal RNA". It matches the Rfam family "Bacterial small subunit ribosomal RNA", at positions 30 to 507 of the family's 1533-position model. The record is from RNAcentral.